GCUCCCUGAUUCAGCGGCGGACGGGUGAGUAAUGCCUAGGAAUCUGCCUGGUAGUGGGGGACAACGUCUCGAAAGGGACGCUAAUACCGCAUACGUCCUACGGGAGAAAGCAGGGGACCUUCGGGCCUUGCGCUAUCAGAUGAGCCUAGGUCGGAUUAGCUAGUUGGUGAGGUAAUGGCUCACCAAGGCUGCGAUCCGUAACUGGUCUGAGAGGAUGAUCAGUCACACUGGAACUGAGACACGGUCCAGACUCCUACGGGAGGCAGCAGUGGGGAAUAUUGGACAAUGGGCGAAAGCCUGAUCCAGCCAUGCCGCGUGUGUGAAGAAGGUCUUCGGAUUGUAAAGCACUUUAAGUUGGGAGGAAGGGCAGUAAGUUAAUACCUUGCUGUUUUGACGUUACCGACAGAAUAAGCACCGGCUAACUUCGUGCCAGCAGCCGCGGUAAUACGAAGGGUGCAAGCGUUAAUCGGAAUUACUGGGCGUAAAGCGCGCGUAGGUGGUUUGUUAAGUUGGAAGUGAAAGCCCCGGGCUCAACCUGGGAACUGCUUUCAAAACUGGCAAGCUAGAGUAUGGCAGAGGGUGGUGGAAUUUCCUGUGUAGCGGUGAAAUGCGUAGAUAUAGGAAGGAACACCAGUGGCGAAGGCGACCACCUGGGCUAAUACUGACACUGAGGUGCGAAAGCGUGGGGAGCCAAACAGA
Molecule: ribosomal RNA, 699 nt
Filed under: Stutzerimonas stutzeri
Lineage: Bacteria; Pseudomonadati; Pseudomonadota; Gammaproteobacteria; Pseudomonadales; Pseudomonadaceae
Description: bacterial SSU rRNA
Rfam family: Bacterial small subunit ribosomal RNA
Source: RNAcentral